UGGGGAAUAUUGCACAAUGGGCGCAAGCCUGAUGCAGCAACGCCGCGUGAACGAUGAAGGUCUUCGGAUCGUAAAGUUCUGUUGCAGGGGAAGAUAAUGACGGUACCCUGUGAGGAAGCUCCGGCUAACUACGUGCCAGCAGCCGCGGUAAUACGUAGGGGGCUAGCGUUAUCCGGAUUUACUGGGCGUAAAGGGUGCGUAGGUGGUCUUUCAAGUCGGUGGUUAAAGGCUACGGCUCAACCGUAGUUAGCCUCCGAAACUGGAAGACUUGAGUGCAGGGGAGGAAAGUGGAAUUCCCAGUGUAGCGGUGAAAUGCGUAGAUAUUGGGAGGAACACCAGUAGCGAAGGCGGCUUUCUGGACUGCAACUGACACUGAGGCACGAAAGCGUGGGUAGCAAACAGG
RNAcentral lists this ribosomal RNA (403 nucleotides) under Verrucomicrobiota bacterium. RNAcentral describes it as "Verrucomicrobia bacterium partial 16S ribosomal RNA". It matches the Rfam family "Bacterial small subunit ribosomal RNA", at positions 355 to 776 of the family's 1533-position model. The record is from RNAcentral. Lineage: Bacteria; Pseudomonadati; Verrucomicrobiota.